RNAcentral lists this ribosomal RNA (508 nucleotides) under uncultured bacterium. RNAcentral describes it as "partial 16S ribosomal RNA". It matches the Rfam family "Bacterial small subunit ribosomal RNA", at positions 29 to 523 of the family's 1533-position model. The record is from RNAcentral.
AUUGAACGCUGGCGGCAGGCCUAACACAUGCAAGUCGAGCGGCAGCGGGAAAGUAGCUUGCUACUUUUGCCGGCGAGCGGCGGACGGGUGAGUAAUGCCUGGGGAUCUGCCCAGUCGAGGGGGAUAACUACUGGAAACGGUAGCUAAUACCGCAUACGCCCUACGGGGGAAAGCAGGGGACCUUCGGGCCUUGCGCGAUUGGAUGAACCCGGGUGGGAUUAGCUAGUUGGUGAGGUAAUGGCUCACCAAGGCGACGAGCCCUAGCUGGUCUGAGAGGAUGAGCAGCCACACUGGAACUGAGACACGGGCCAGACUCCGACGGGAGGCAGCAGUGGGGAAUAUUGCACAAUGGGGGAAACCCUGAUGCAGCCAUGCCGCGUGUGUGAAGAAGGCCUUCGGGUUGUAAAGCACUUUCAGCGAGGAGGAAAGGUUGGUAGCUAAUAACUGCCAGCUGUGACGUUACUCGCAGAAGAAGCACCGGCUAACUCCGUGCCAGCCGCCGCAGUAA